GAUGAACGCUAGCUACAGGCUUAACACAUGCAAGUCGAGGGGAAACGAUAUUGGAAGCUUGCUCCCGAUAGGCGUCGACCGGCGCACGGGUGAGUAACGCGUAUCCAACCUGCCCACCACUUGGGGAUAACCUUGCGAAAGUAAGACUAAUACCCAAUGAUAUCCAUAGAAGACAUCUGAAAUGGAUUAAAGAUUUAUCGGUGAUGGAUGGGGAUGCGUCUGAUGAGCUUGUUGGCGGGGUAACGGCCCACCAAGGCGACGAUCAGUAGGGGUUCUGAGAGGAAGGUCCCCCACAUUGGAACUGAGACACGGUCCAAACUCCUACGGGAGGCAGCAGUGAGGAAUAUUGGUCAAUGGGCGAGAGCCUGAACCAGCCAAGUAGCGUGCAGGAUGACGGCCCUAUGGGUUGUAAACUGCUUUUAUAAGGGAAUAAAGUGGGAGUCGUGACUCCUUUUGCAUGUACCUUAUGAAUAAGGACCGGCUAAUUCCGUGCCAGCAGCCGCCGUAA
RNAcentral lists this ribosomal RNA (508 nucleotides) under uncultured bacterium. Its description in RNAcentral is "partial 16S ribosomal RNA". It matches the Rfam family "Bacterial small subunit ribosomal RNA", at positions 28 to 523 of the family's 1533-position model. The record is from RNAcentral.